UACAGAGGUCUCAAGCGUUGUUCGGAUUCAUUGGGCGUAAAGGGUGCGUAGGUGGCGGGGUAAGUCUGAUGUGAAAUCCCGGAGCUCAACUCCGGAACUGCAUUGGAUACUGCCUUGCUUGAGCACUGGAGAGGAGACUGGAAUUUACGGUGUAGCAGUGAAAUGCGUAGAUAUCGUAAGGAAGACCAGUGGCGAAGGCGAGUCUCUGGACAGUUGCUGACACUGAGGCACGAAGGCCAGGGGAGCAAACGGG
RNAcentral lists this ribosomal RNA (253 nucleotides) under uncultured bacterium. RNAcentral describes it as "partial 16S ribosomal RNA". It matches the Rfam family "Bacterial small subunit ribosomal RNA", at positions 524 to 776 of the family's 1533-position model. The record is from RNAcentral.